GAGUUUGAUCGUGGCUCAGAACGAACGCUGGCGGCAGGCCUCAAACAUGCAAGUCUAGGGGGUGUAGCAAUACAUCACCGGCGGACGGGUGCGUAACGCGUGGGAAUAUACCUAUUGGUUCGGAACAACUGCGGGAAACUGCAGCUAAUACCGAAUGUGCCCUAACGGGGAAAGAUUUAUCGCCAAUGGAUUAGCCCGCGUAGGAUUAGCUAGUUGGUGGGGUAAUGGCUCACCAAGGCUCCGAUCCUUAGCUGUUCUGAGAGGAAGAUCAGCCACACUGGGACUGAGACACGGCCCAGACUCCUACGGGAGGCAGCAGUUGGGAAUCUUGGACAAUGGGGGAAACCCUGAUCCAGCCAUGCCGCGUGAGUGAUGAAGGCCUUCGGUUGUAAACUCUUUCGACGGGACGAUAAUGACGGUACCCGUACGAAGAAGCUCCGGCUAACUUCGUGCCAGCCGCCGC
Molecule: ribosomal RNA, 463 nt
Filed under: uncultured Alphaproteobacteria bacterium
Lineage: Bacteria; Pseudomonadati; Pseudomonadota; Alphaproteobacteria
Description: bacterial SSU rRNA
Rfam family: Bacterial small subunit ribosomal RNA
Source: RNAcentral